RNAcentral lists this ribosomal RNA (302 nucleotides) under uncultured bacterium. RNAcentral's name for it is "partial 16S ribosomal RNA". It matches the Rfam family "Bacterial small subunit ribosomal RNA", at positions 354 to 666 of the family's 1533-position model. The record is from RNAcentral.
UGGGGGAAUAUUGCACAAUGGGCGAAAGCCUGAUGCAGCGACGCCGCGUGCGGGAUGAAGGCCUUCGGGUUGUAAACCGCUUUUAAUUGGGAGCAAGCGAGAGUGAGUGUACCUUUUGAAUAAGCACCGGCUAACUACGUGCCAGCAGCCGCGGUAAUACGUAGGGUGCAAGCGUUAUCCGGAAUUAUUGGGCGUAAAGAGCUCGUAGGCGGUUUGUCACGCCUGGUGUGAAAAGUCCAUCGCUUAACGGUGGAUCUGCGCCGGGUACGGGCAGGCUAGAGUGCAGUAGGGGGAGAUUGGAA